GAGCAGUGGGGAAUAUUGGACAAUGGGCGCAAGCCUGAUCCAGCCAUACCGCGUGGGUGAAGAAGGCCUUCGGGUCUGUAAAGCUCUUUUGUUGGGAAAGAAAUCCUGCCGGGUAAUACGUGGUUGGGAUGACGGUACCCAAAGAAUAAGCCCCGGCUAACUUCGUGCCAGCAGCCGCGGUAAUACGAAGGGUGCAAGCGUUACUCGGAAUUACUGGGCGUAAAGCGUGCGUAGGUGGUUUUUUAAGUCUGUUGUGAAAGCCCUGGGCUCAACCUGGGAACUGCAUUGGAAACUGGACGACUUGAGUGUGGUAGAGGGUAGCGGAAUUCCCGGUGUAGCAGUGAAAUGCGUAGAGAUCGGGAGGAACAUCCAUGGCGAAGGCAGCUACCUGGACCAACACUGACACUGAGGCACGAAAGCGUGGGGAGCAAACAGGAUUAGAUACCCUGGUAGUCCACGCCCUAAACGAUGCGAACUGGAUGUUGGGUGCAAUUUGGCACGCAGUGUCGCAGCUAACGCGUUAAGUUCGCCGCCUGGGGAGUACGGUCGCAAGAGUGAAACUCA
RNAcentral lists this ribosomal RNA (564 nucleotides) under Stenotrophomonas maltophilia. Its description in RNAcentral is "bacterial SSU rRNA". It matches the Rfam family "Bacterial small subunit ribosomal RNA", at positions 349 to 903 of the family's 1533-position model. Lineage: Bacteria; Pseudomonadati; Pseudomonadota; Gammaproteobacteria; Lysobacterales; Lysobacteraceae. The record is from RNAcentral.